Cervus elaphus (red deer) is the source of this 1141-nucleotide long non-coding RNA. RefSeq lists it as uncharacterized. Lineage: Eukaryota; Metazoa; Chordata; Mammalia; Artiodactyla; Cervidae. The transcript has 4 exons. The record is from RefSeq and is a predicted model, not a curated record.
GGGCAGCCCCGGCAGGCCUUGCUUCCUGGCCGCUGGGGAGGGCCCCCGCGGCGCGACCACCUCCCCUGAGCCCCUCGAGCGCCGGGGCCGGCCCCUGGGUAGGGGGUGGAGGGGGAUGUCAGACAAGGAUUCACAAUAGAAUGAAUGAAGAACUUGACUCACUCCUUGCGCCCAGCGGAGGGGACAGCACCUUAGUUCAGCCACCCUUUGCUUCCAGAGCGUCUUCAUCUCGGCAUGAGAGUGGCCGUGGGAGUCCAGGCAUGCCCUGGUUGUCUGAAAGGUGUCUGCAUAGACACCCAUGCCUGUGUGUCUCAGAGGGACAGGGUUCUUCCUGACAACACCAGGAAAUGUAAACGCCAGUACCUGCAGGGACAGGUCCCCCUCCUCCAAGCGUGCUGCUGUUGGGUACCUCCCUCGUUAAGCUCAGAAUGAACACGCUGGGGAGUUCAACGCAACAACUCAAGAGGCCCACCUGCAAAAGCUGUGCUACCCCAGGAAAUCAGCUGUCUGCUCCAAGGGAUGCAAAUCACUUCCCCGCUUAGCAAGGGACGUUCGUCUAGCAUUUUGUAGAUACUCCGUCGUGGUUUCCUGGCCUCUCAUUAACAGUAAUCAGUGACAGCUAACACUGAGUAUUCAUGUUCUUGGUGGGCCCCCAGUUCAGGAAAAGAAACGGCUUAUUCCCAUUCCUCCUAACCUACUGUCUUAGCUCAGGCUGCCUCAACAAAAUGCAGAGUGACUGGCUUAUGCAAUAGAAGUCCAUUUCUUCACACUGCAUGCAUGCAUUCAGUCACUUCAGUCGUAUCUGACUCUUUGGGACCCCAUGGACUGUAGCUGCCCUCCCCUCCCCGCCCCAGAUUCCUCUGUUCAUGGGAUUCUCCAGGCAAGAAUCCUGGAGUGGGUUGCCAUGCCCUUCUCCAGGGUUUCCUCACCUAGAGGCUAAAAGUCCCAGAUCCAGGUUCUGGCCAAUUUAGUUUCUGACGCGGGCUCUUCCCGCUUGCAGACAGCCACCCUCCUGCUGUGUCCUCACAUGACCCUUCCCUGGUGCAGGGUCUCUCCUGUCCCUUCUCACAGGACACAGUCCUGUCAGACCAGGGCCCGCCCUCAUGACUUGUGUUGUUGCUCAGUCAUGUCUGACUGUUUG